Coffea eugenioides is the source of this 1678-nucleotide RNA transcript. RefSeq lists it as uncharacterized. The transcript has 7 exons. NCBI's taxonomy places the organism in Eukaryota, Viridiplantae, Streptophyta, Magnoliopsida, Gentianales, Rubiaceae. The record is from RefSeq and is a predicted model, not a curated record.
CCCUUUUCCCCUUCUUCUCUUUCCUUUUUUCAAUUAUAUGAUUCUAACUGAUUUUUUUCUCUUGCUAGAAUUGGUCUGGAUAUGAAGCUACUAAACGCAUGAGACACAAAAAUCAUCUUAAUUGAUUGCGGACAAUGGACUGAAAGUCCACGAGAAGGAGAAAAAGAAUCAACUUUCCAGAUAGGGAUCUCAUUUUUCUUUUAAUAAAUUGAGGGAAAAAUGGAAGAGAAGUCGACGGGAAGAAGAAAAAAAGAUUUAAGUUUUCAAGAUUGAGGAACAUCACAAGGAAAUACUAAUGGGAGGAGAAAAAGAUUUAGCUUUUCAGCUAUUGCCUUCUCAACAUGAAUUGUUAUGCAUCUGAAGCAUAUAUGAAGCUGGAAGGUUUAGUUUGAAGUACUCUUUUACACACUUUUGGCAAAAGAGUGUAAAUCUGCCAAAAUUAACUAAUAUGCCAAAAGAGUGGUCGUCUGUUAAUCAAGUGCAUCUGUUAAAUCAGAAGUUAAAUGAUAAAUAACAUUAACUAAUAUGGAACAAAAGGUCGAGGUUAAGACUUUUCACUUUCACUUUUGCAGAGAAGUUUAAAGAUUUUCCGAAGAAACCUCUAAGCUGGUUCAGGAAUCAUUUUUUGCUCAGUUAAAAGUUGAAUCCUUUUGUUCUUUUCUUGUUUUUGCACUGAAUAUGGGACCUGGUCUUCAUGCAAUUUCUGUCUCUGCAUCUUUUAGGACAAGUCAAUAUUUCUAAAGUAGUAUAUGUUUGAGAGUAAGAGUAGGGAGAUGAUUGUCUACACAACCGAAGGAAGAAGCAAUCUUUAUUUGUGGUCCAGGAAUAAACAAAUGGUGAAGAUAGCCUUUAAGUGAGAAUAUCUUAAACUAGGUGACUUGGUUGAGCAGAUAUUGUGCACAUCCAUAUUUGGAACUCCAUAGCAUGUUAGCUUCCUUAUUUGGCUAUCUAAAUAGACUAUUCUGUAGUGUGAAAAUGUCAUCUUCUUUUGAUGGGCUUUUGAAUAAUGAAUCAUUAGUUUCUUUUCAUUGAUUAAUUUUAUAGAUUGAUUACACUUUUGUUGUUAGAGUAAGUUUUACUUGGUAAUAAAUUUGUAUAUUUCAUCUUUAACCUUUUGGGUUCAUUUCUUGAACUUCAAUAUUUAUAGGUAUAAACUUGUUGAAAAAAGGAUGAGAGGCAUUGGCAGGAUUCAACAUUUUGCUGACUUGCUAAAUUUGUUAAGAGAAUUUUCUUCACUUUCCUUGGAAUAUGCUUCUGCUGUUCUAUCGUCUAUGUGCAGGUUAUUAGUCAAGAUAUCUGACACUUCUUUAGGCUUUGUUGUUCUAGGCCCAAUCAGAUAUCUUUAUACUUACUGUUAUUUGAUUGUGUGGCUUGAGUUCAAAUUAAGUAAAUUAUUUGAGAGAAUGCUUAAUGAUUUGUUUGGCUUGUUUUGCUUAGCAAUGAGUCAAAGCCCGAAGAGUGGAAGAACUCUUACCGUUUCCCUUGCACUAUCAUGAUUGAAGUGCCAUGCAUCCCUAGAAUCAAGAUUGGAAUUAUUUCUAUGUCUGUCCUGCAUGGAUCUACAGUGAUUAUUUAUUAGCCUCAUUUUUGGAUACAUAUUAUUGUAGACAUUAUGUACCUUUUACAUUUUAAAUAAGAGGUUUCGUUUGUAAAGAUAGUGACCAACUUUUGUUUCAAU